AUGAACAGCGGCUGUCUGUUACGCUCUUUCAAUGAGUUGUGAAUGCAAGCAGAGCAGAAACUGGCUACUCUUUAAUUGACUGACCUAGCUGGCAAGGAUCAGAUGGUGACAGGUGUCCCAGCAGGAUCAGACAACCAGGGAAGACCAGUCUACGGAGCUCAGGGCAUUGGAGCUGGUGGCAGAGGUAGCAGACUGGCGCAGAGUGGUACGGAGGAACACAUGCAGCUUGACCUUGUACUCGUCACAGGAAGAAGCCUCACUCUUCCAGAGAGUUUGCCACGGAUGAAGCAGACGGUGUGGUUAUGACGACAGAACUCUCCAUUACCUCUUUGCAUCCAGUGUGGUCGGAGAGCUCAUAGUUGCUGGCGUGUAGGGGCUGGCCUGCAUUCACUGGGUUCAGGAUCACCUUGUCUCCCACCACUACCUGCAGAACAACACAUGACCAGACUGGUUGCGGUUAUGUACCUUGGAUGACUGAUAAUUCAGACCGAUGUCUGUACUCUGUACUCAUCACAGUAAAAAAAACACAAAAAAACAAGCCAAUGCUAUAAUUGGCAGUAUCCUUCUGGAUAGUGGUUAUGGUACUUUUCUUGGUGAAGCUAACAUUUCAGGUUAGUGUGUAUUCAUGUCAUUUGAGUCUGUACUGUAAUACGAGUUAGUUGAGUUACAUUGUCUCCGUUGGCCCUUAGCUUC
Molecule: long non-coding RNA, 693 nt
Organism: Oncorhynchus nerka (sockeye salmon)
Lineage: Eukaryota; Metazoa; Chordata; Actinopteri; Salmoniformes; Salmonidae
Exons: 4
Source: RefSeq, a predicted model, not a curated record